AAGAAAAGAAGGAAGGAAGGAAGGAAGAGGGGAGUAUCCACUACAUAAAACACAGGAAAAUUUCCUUCCAUUUGUCUUCUGUUAGAUGGAUGCUUUCCUGCUCCCUCAGUCCUGUCAUCCCCAAAAUGCACUGGAGUAAGGGUUAAUCAAUAAUAGUACACAUCCUGAAGAGAGCUGGGACAACUCAGCCUGCCAUUUGCAAGCAGUUUUCACAGUAGAUAAAUGUUCCCUUGGAUAUUCAGGCAAAUCCUUGUAAUCCUGGGAAUGUGGUCCUUAAGGAUCUGGGCUGACUCUGUGACUUCCUUCCACCGAGAGACUGAGGCAGGCUUCCAAGCAUUGACUUUAAGCAUCCUUGAAGCUUUCAUUCUGAUUUUCUUGGAAUGCUGCCGCCAUCCAGUGAAUUAUCUCCAGUUUGCCAUCUAGUGACUCAUGGCCCAGCUUCCAUCCAGAGACCACCACCAAACAUACAAUGGGGGCUACCUGGAUCAUUCAGCCUCACUUAAAGCACGGGAUAACUUAAGAUGGCUGAAGGACCCCAGA
Long non-coding RNA from Peromyscus maniculatus bairdii (prairie deer mouse), 540 nucleotides. RefSeq lists it as uncharacterized. NCBI's taxonomy places the organism in Eukaryota, Metazoa, Chordata, Mammalia, Rodentia, Cricetidae. The record is from RefSeq and is a predicted model, not a curated record.